Molecule: ribosomal RNA, 468 nt
Filed under: uncultured bacterium
Lineage: Bacteria
Description: partial 16S ribosomal RNA
Rfam family: Bacterial small subunit ribosomal RNA
Source: RNAcentral
GACGAACGCUGGCGGCGUGCUUAACACAUGCAAGUCGAGCGGAAAGACCCUGCUUUUGUGGGGUGCUCGAUUGGCGAACGGGUGAGUAACACGUGAGUAACCUGCCCUUGACUUUGGGGUAACUUCAGGGGACUGGGGCUAAUACCGGAUAUGAGCUCCUGCUGCGUGGUGGGGGUUGGAAAAUUUCGGCGGUUGGGGCUGGUCUCGAGGCUUAUCAGCUUGUUGGUGGAGUAGGGGCUUACAAAGGCUUUGAAGGGUAGCCGGCCUGGGAGGGUGACCGGCCACAUGAGGACUGAGAGACGGAGCAGACUCGAACGUUAGGCAGCAGGCGGGAGCAUUGCACAACGGGGGGACGUCAGAGGCAGAAAUGUUGCGAUCGUGAUGCCCUCCUACGAGUGGUAAACAGCUUUCUAAUGUGAUGAAGCGGGAGUGACGGUAAUGGGUAAAGAAGCACCGGCUAACUACGUG